Molecule: ribosomal RNA, 407 nt
Filed under: uncultured bacterium
Lineage: Bacteria
Description: partial 16S ribosomal RNA
Rfam family: Bacterial small subunit ribosomal RNA
Source: RNAcentral
AUUGAACGCUAGCGGGAUGCCUUACACAUGCAAGUCGAACGGAGUGGCGAACGGGUGAGUAAUGUAUCGGAACGUGCCCAGUCGCGGGGGCUAACUACGCGAAAGCGUAGCUAAUACCGCAUACUAUUGGAGCGGCCGAUAGCGGAAGAGCUAGUUGGUGGGGUAACGGCUCACCAAGGGGACGAUCCGUAGCUGGUUUGAGAGGACGACCAGCCACACUGGGACUGGGACACGGCCAAGACUCCUACGGGAGGAAGCGUGGGGGAAUUUUGGACGAGGGGGGAAACCCUGAACCAGCCAUCCCGCGUAUGCGAUGAAGGCCUUCGGGUUGUAAAGCACUUAUGGUAGGAAAGCGGUACCUGCAGAAUAAGCGCAGGCUAACUACGUGCCAGCAGCCGCGGUAAUAC